GCCGUCCAAGCAAACAGCCUCCACGCGGCGGACGGUGGGCAACAGAUGUUUCCGUGUUCCGGGCAUCUGGCUAAUGUUUGU
Molecule: ribozyme, 81 nt
Filed under: unclassified sequences
Description: HDV ribozyme from F. prausnitzii
Rfam family: HDV ribozyme from F. prausnitzii
Source: RNAcentral